UAUGCUUUUGCAGAUGUAUAAGUUUGCACUUUACAGGUCGUUGGUGUCAUUAAAUUUUCAAUCUUCAGACGAAAAGAUGUGCGGCUAAGAUAAUAGAGGUUCCUCGGGGUUGAGUGGAUGGUUGGUUUAUAUAGUAUUUUUGUUCAUUUUGAUCGUUGGAUAAUCUAGUCCUUUUUUCGGGUUUAUCUAGAUGGCGAGAAACUGUUUUUCUUUUUCUAGAUCUUUUGUUCGACUUAUUGAUUGCAUUGUUCAAGUUGUACUUUUUUUGCUCAUUUGUAUAUAGCCAAUUAUGCUUCUGAUCCUAUCAAUGGUAUAAUAGCUCUUUGUACUCUCUGUGUUUUAUAUCUGUAUGUAUGUAUGUAUGUGUGUUUAUGUAUGAUAGUGGUCGCGGGUUAGUUUUCUAGCGGUCCCCUUUGGUUGAUUUUGUGUCGUUGGUUUAUACUAUUAAACCAAUAACUCAUUCAACCCUAGGGUGGCCACAUGAUCUUAACCGGUAGAUUUUUUCAUCCAAUGGUCGAAAACUUAAUAGUACCAAUGGUUUGGUGCUAUUGAUUGUAUUGUAGCCGGACUAUAUAUAUUUAUAUAUAUAUAUAUACUGGUAUACUACCGGUAGCACGGAGACCUCCGUGCUACCAAGUUGUUUUCAAUGAUGCGGCUUACAAAUCGACGAUCGGCUCCGUUAGACUUGAUCUACACUAUUGAAAGCAUUUAGAAACUAAAUUUCAUAAUUUUUCGGCAUCAUUUACGUAUCAAACGAGUAGUCUAAAAAUGAACGGCUGAAAAUAAAAAUCUUAUAAAAAAUGAUGAUAAAAGACUUGAAUUUAAAAUCAGAGGUGCUGAUCUUACUCUAAAUAAUGAAAAGAAUUUUCUAUAAAAAUUUCAUCAUAUUUGACUUGUUUUACACCGUUAAAUUCACAAAUGUAUCACAUCUACCAUUAAAAUUGUCAAUUUUGAGACCUUUUGAUCACUAGCCAAAUAAUGUCGAAAAAUUAUGAAAUUUAGUUUCCAAACACUAUUAAUAGUGUAGAUCAAGUCUAACGGAGCCGAUCGUCGAUUUGGAAGCCGCAUCAUUGAAAACAACUUGGUAGCACGGUGGCCUCUGUGCUACCGAUAGUAUACCAGCCUAACUCUACAUAUAAAUAUAUAUAGUUCGGCUGGAAUACAAUCAAUAGCACCAAACUAUUGGUGCUAUUAGGUUUUUGGCCUUUGGAUGAAAAAAUGUACGGUUAAGAUGAUGUGGGCCCCCUAGGGUUGAAUGAGUUAUUGGUUUAAUAGUAUAAUCUAACGAGUGAAAAUAGUCAAAGGGUUUCGUUAGAAAACUCUCUCUCUCUCUCUUUUAUAUAUAUAUAUAUAUAUAUAUAUAUAUAUAUAUAUAAAAGAGAGAGAGAGAGAGAGUUAUUAUCCCAUGUGGAUCAGAAUUAUUAUUGGGUUUAUACCAAUGAGCAAAAAAAGUACAACUUGAACAAUGAAUUAAUAAGUCGAACAAAAGCUCUAGAAAAAGAAAAAGGGUUUCUUGCUCUAGAUAUGCUCGAAAAAAGGACUAGAUUAUGCAAUGAUGAAAAUGAACAAAAAUACUAUAUAUAUAUAUAUAGAGAGAGAGAGAGUUGAGCUGGAAUACUAUCGGUAGCAAACUGGCUCCGUUGCCACCCAUUUGUUUUCGAUAAUAGAGCCUUCAAAUCGACGAUCGGCACCGUUGAAAAUGAUCUAUACCACUUUAAAUAUUUAGAAAUCAAAUUUCAUACUUUUUCGAUAUUGUUUUCUUGUCCAUCAAGUGGGCGUAAAAAUGAAUGGCUGAAAAUGAAUAUUCUCUAAAAAGUGAUGAUAAAAAUUUUAUAAUCAUGAUCGAGAGUAUAGAUCUUGUUCUAAGUAGUUUAAAGAAUUUUCCAACCAAAAUUCAAUUGAUUUGGAUAGCUUUACACCGUUAAACGAGAAAACCCCUCAUAUCAACCAUUAAAAUUACUAAUUUUGAAACCCUUUGAUCAUUAGGUAAAUGAUGUCGAAAAGAUUUGAAAUUUGAUUUCUAGAUACGUCAAGUGAUAUAGAUCAUGUUCAACGGUGUUGAUCGUCGAUUUGAAAGCUCCAUCAUCGAAAACAAAUGGGUGGCAACGGAGCCCGUUUGCUACCGAUAGCAUUCCAGCUCAACUAUAUAUAUAUAUAUAUAUAUAUAUAUAUAUAUAUAUCAAUAGUACAAAGCCCUUGGUACUAUUGAGUUUUUAGCCGUUGGAUGAAAGGAUGUGCGGUUAGGAUGAUAGUGGUCCCCGGUUAAAUUGAUAGCGGUCCCCUAGGGUCAAGGGCCAAAAAUUUAAUACCACCAAUAACUUGGUAUUGUUGAGAGAGAGAGAGAGAGAGAGAGAGUCCGGCUGGGAUACUAUCGAUAGCACCAAGUAUUUGGUGCUAUCGAGUUUCCGCCGUAAGAUUUAACCCUUUAAUUAUUUUUACCCGUUAGAUUAUACUAUAUAUUUAACUAACUACUCACUCAACCCUAGAGGGCCCACAUCAUCCUAACCACACAUUUCUCAAUCUAAGGGCUAAAAAAUUAAUAGCACAAAUAGCUCGGUGCUAUUUUUAGUAUUCCAGCUUAGUNUUCAUACGGUCAUAUUAUUUAGUCAAUAUUAUUUAAGAUUACGAAAAAUAUAUAAUUAAUUAAUUAAUUUUUUUAAUUAAUUUUAAAUAAUACUAUAAAAAAAUUUCAACAUUUUUUUAGAAAAAAGAGAAAGAGAAUAUAGAUUAGAAAAAGAGAGCAUAAUUAAAGAAAUAGAAAGAGAAAUAGAGUCGAGAUUAGAGAGAAUGAGAGGGUUGAGAUUUUAGAAAAAGAGGGGAGAAAUAGCUUAGUUUAGAAAGAGAAAAAGAGUUGAAGUUUAGAGAGAAAAAGAUAAGUUUAGAGAGAGAUAUGAGGUUUAGAAUGUAUAGAAAAAUAAUACAAACUAGCCGGCGGGUAGGAAGAAAGAAAGAGAUUAGACAUAUUAUAAUUAUCCCAAUUCAUUAAUAUAAGGAUACCCACUCUCACUCAGAGGAAUGAGAUUAGUACUUUGGGAUGCAUCUCAUUCCCAAGUAAAUUAAAUAUUACCAACUAGAUUACUUAGUUUAUUUAGCCAAACAUCGUCAUAAUUUUUUAUUUUUAUUAGAUUAUUAGAAAUCUUAAAAAAAUAGCGCAAACCAAAUGCACCCCAAGGUUCAUCCAUAUAUCUAAGUAUAUUUUAAUUGUGACGUGCUGAAAGAAAGUUAUUAAGAAUAAUCAUUAAAGAGGGGGACUAUCUUUUGGAAUAACUAAUUGGAAUCGCUAUCUAAGUGGAGUGAUUACAAAAGUACAUGCGGUAUGCUUUUGCAGAUGUAUAAGUUUGCACUUUACAGGUCGUUGGUGUCAUUAAAUUUUCAAUCUUCAGACGAAAAGAUGUGCGGCUAAGAUAAUAGAGGUUCCUCGGGGUUGAGUGGAUGGUUGGUUGAAUAGUACAAUCUGAAAGUUGGAAAUAGUCAAAAGGGUUAAUCUAAUGGCGAAAAACUGAAUAGCACAACAUCGUUGGUGCUAUUGAUAGCAUUGUAGUCGAACUAUAUAUAUAUAUAUAUAUAGAAUUAUGCUACUAUACUAUCAAUAGUACAAAGCCCUUGGUACUAUUGAGUUUUUAGCCGUUGGAUGAAAGGAUGUGCGGUUAGGAUGAUAGUGGUCCCCGGUUAAAUUGAUAGCGGUCCCCUAGGGUUGAGUGGGUGGUUGGUUUAAUAGUAUAAUCUAACGGGUGGAAAUGAUCAACAGGUAGAUCUAAUGGUAGAAAACUCAAUAGUACCAAGGACUUGGUACUAUCGAUAGUAUAGUAGCCGGACUAUAUAUAUAUAUAUAUACUGGUAUACUACCGGUAGCACGGAGACCUCCGUGCUACCAAGUUGUUUUCAAUGAUGCGGCUUACAAAUCGACGAUCGGCUCCGUUAGACUUGAUCUACACUAUUGAAAGCAUUUAGAAACUAAAUUUCAUAAUUUUUCGGCAUCAUUUACGUAUCAAACGAGUAGUCUAAAAAUGAACGGCUGAAAAUAAAAAUCUUAUAAAAAAUGAUGAUAAAAGACUUGAAUUUAAAAUCAGAGGUGCUGAUCUUACUCUAAAUAAUGAAAAGAAUUUUCUAUAAAAAUUUCAUCAUAUUUGACUUGUUUUACACCGUUAAAUUCACAAAUGUAUCACAUCUACCAUUAAAAUUGUCAAUUUUGAGACCUUUUGAUCACUAGCCAAAUAAUGUCGAAAAAUUAUGAAAUUUAGUUUCCAAACACUAUUAAUAGUGUAGAUCAAGUCUAACGGAGCCGAUCGUCGAUUUGGAAGCCGCAUCAUU
RNAcentral lists this long non-coding RNA (4311 nucleotides) under Ananas comosus (pineapple). RNAcentral's name for it is "long non-coding RNA (ACOM_LNC011471)". Lineage: Eukaryota; Viridiplantae; Streptophyta; Magnoliopsida; Poales; Bromeliaceae. The record is from RNAcentral.